CUAGCGUUGUUCGGAAUCACUGGGCGUAAAGCGCACGUAGGCGGAUCUUUAAGUCAGGGGUGAAAUCCCGAGGCUCAACCUCGGAACUGCCUUUGAUACUGGGGAUCUCGAGUCCGGGAGAGGUGAGUGGAACUGCGAGUGUAGAGGUGAAAUUCGUAGAUAUUCGCAAGAACACCAGUGGCGAAGGCGGCUCACUGGCCCGGAACUGACGCUGAGGUGCGAAAGCGUGGGGAGCAAACAGG
Molecule: ribosomal RNA, 242 nt
Filed under: uncultured bacterium
Lineage: Bacteria
Description: partial 16S ribosomal RNA
Rfam family: Bacterial small subunit ribosomal RNA
Source: RNAcentral